RNAcentral lists this small nuclear RNA (104 nucleotides) under Badhamia polycephala. RNAcentral's name for it is "Physarum polycephalum non-coding RNA". Lineage: Eukaryota; Evosea; Eumycetozoa; Physariida; Physaraceae. The record is from RNAcentral.
CGAAAUUAUAGUGAUUGGCCACCGCAGUGGAUGUAGUACCAUUACAAGUCUAGCGACACUUGAUACGGAUAUGUGCUAAAAACCAAGCGCAAAAGCUCUGCAUG